Molecule: small RNA, 96 nt
Filed under: uncultured Bermanella sp.
Lineage: Bacteria; Pseudomonadati; Pseudomonadota; Gammaproteobacteria; Oceanospirillales; Oceanospirillaceae
Description: t44 RNA
Rfam family: t44 RNA
About the family: This family consists of a number of bacterial RNA genes of between 135 and 170 bases in length. The t44 gene is found between the map and rpsB genes in all species in the full alignment apart from Shigella flexneri.
Source: RNAcentral
ACUUUUAUAAAUCCGCACAUGUAUCGACACAUCGUUCUGGGUGUCUUAAGUGGUUAAACGCUUGAGAUUGGACAAUGGGAUACAUGGAGGCCUAAC